UGGACAGUGUCUGGUGGGUAGUUUGACUGGGGCGGUCUCCUCCCAAAUAGUAACGGAGGAGCACGAAGGUUAGCUAAUCACGGUCGGACAUCGUGAGGUUAGUGCAAUGGCAUAAGCUAGCUUAACUGCGAGACAGACACGUCGAGCAGGUACGAAAGUAGGUCAUAGUGAUCCGGUGGUUCUGUAUGGAAGGGCCAUCGCUCAACGGAUAAAAGGUACUCCGGGGAUAACAGGCUGAUACCGCCCAAGAGUUCAUAUCGACGGCGGUGUUUGGCACCUCGAUGUCGGCUCAUCACAUCCUGGGGCUGAAGCCGGUCCCAAGGGUAUGGCUGUUCGCCAUUUAAAGUGGUACGCGAGCUGGGUUCAGAACGUCGUGAGACAGUUCGGUCCCUAUCUGCCGUGGGCGUUGGAAAAUUGAGGAAAGCUGCUCCUAGUACGAGAGGACCGGAGUGGACGAACCCCUGGUGUUUGGGUUGUCAUGCCAAUGGCAUUGCCCAGUAGCUACGUUCGGACGGGAUAACCGCUGAAAGCAUCUAAGCGGGAAGCCUCUUCCAAGAUUAAUUUUCCCUGGGAGUUUAACUCCCCUGAAGGGCCGUUCAAGACUAGGACGUUGAUAGGUUGGGUGUGGAAGCGCUGCGAGGCGUUGAGCUAACCAAUACUAAUUGCCCGUGAGGCUUGACCAU
RNAcentral lists this ribosomal RNA (683 nucleotides) under seawater metagenome. RNAcentral describes it as "bacterial LSU rRNA". It matches the Rfam family "Bacterial large subunit ribosomal RNA", at positions 2248 to 2925 of the family's 2925-position model. The record is from RNAcentral.